This 1121-nucleotide unclassified non-coding RNA is filed under the name Hevea brasiliensis (rubber tree). Lineage: Eukaryota; Viridiplantae; Streptophyta; Magnoliopsida; Malpighiales; Euphorbiaceae. The record is from RNAcentral.
AUAUGUAGUGUUUAUACAUGAAAUAACAGUUAAUGGAAUGGGCAAAAGUACAACAAGCUCUGGAGAUCAGCUCUACAAGAAAUUGUUCUAUGCUGACCAGAUGUAGGACAAGUACUCAAAAAAAUAAAAAAAAUAAAAAUUUCUGUAGUGCUACCCUGACCAAAAAGGUAAAAAUAAAUAACCUCAUAGUGUUGGCAAAGACCCAUAGAACCACCCUCGUCUACCAUCUCACCUAGAGAAGUGAGUGAAUAAAAAGAAAAUAAAGCCCUAAGACACAAUAAAGUUAUACACAUUUGCAAAUGAAUGCAUUUAACAAUUGGGCUUGUUGGAACUGCUGUAAAUAGAAAACUUGAUCUCAAAGCAACAGUAGAGGGGAUUGAUAUCACUUGCAUAUAACCUCCAAAUGAUUCCCCUGAGGAAGCAGCAAACCAAAUAUCUUCUAAAAGUACUUUCCUGCUGCUGUUUGGUUAUCUGAUUUACCCGCUAAAUCAUAAUGCUAUUGCGUGUUAGCUACUGCAUGAAUCUGCAAUGGAAUCAUAUUCAGAUGGUGAGCUCCUUAAAAGCCUCCAGCUUUCCAUUUGAUGAAACGGAAUCUGCAAUUUUGCCACCUCCAGGAAGGCUUGCACUACCAUUCUCAUGGUUCUUGCCUAUCUGAUUGUACACUGAGUUGGGCAUGGCAGAGCUGCAUUUGCCUUCAAAGUAUGUAGAGUAGGGGAAGUAAUCGGCACAGCGCACCUUCCACCUUGAUGCAGCAUCAUGGUCAGUGAGAGCUGUUUCUAGUAGUUUGUGGACUGCAAUGCAGUCUUUGAGCUUCCAUCCCUUGACCGGUCCGAGUGCUCCAUUUACUGGCACAAGGUUGUUGGCUGAAUCUUCAAUUAAUUUAAUAGCAUCGGAUUUCUUGUUAGGUUCUAAAACAUAUUGCAUCUCUGCAACUGCAGCUCUAUGCAUCAAAGAAUCUUUGUGUUUUUCAAGGAAAAACUUGUUUGCCUCAAUCAGAGAUUUCUCAUGCAAUUCACUGAUUGAUGGUCGUUCUGCUUCCAAGACACGCCAAAUAAGUUUCUCUGUAUCCAUCACUGGAGCAGUCAUUGAUCCCACUUUAUGGAAAAAUCUUAUCAAGCAGC